AGAAAAUGAAUUGUACCUACGAUCACAGAGGCUGAUCCUCGGUCAGGUCACUGCUCCUUUUCAAUUUUCUGUCUUUCUAAUCAGAAUAGCAUUGGGGCUCAUAAAUCUCUGUUUGCGAUGACAUAAUUGGUUACCAGAGGAAUGCGGUGGUACUGCCAGCUGAAAGUUACAGCUCCAGACUCCGAGGAAACCCAAACAGACUCAUUCCAAGAGAUACGACCUACCCUUUUCUUUCUUUACUGCAAGGGUUGUUGUGUCCAGAUCCUCUCAUGAGCAGGGGUAGCCACAACACACCAAAUUAAGA
RNAcentral lists this long non-coding RNA (304 nucleotides) under Homo sapiens (human). Its description in RNAcentral is "HSALNT0161124". Lineage: Eukaryota; Metazoa; Chordata; Mammalia; Primates; Hominidae. The record is from RNAcentral.